This 443-nucleotide ribosomal RNA is filed under the name Salmonella enterica subsp. enterica serovar Virchow. RNAcentral describes it as "bacterial SSU rRNA". It matches the Rfam family "Bacterial small subunit ribosomal RNA", at positions 777 to 1220 of the family's 1533-position model. Lineage: Bacteria; Pseudomonadati; Pseudomonadota; Gammaproteobacteria; Enterobacterales; Enterobacteriaceae. The record is from RNAcentral.
AUUAGAUUCCCUGGUAGUCCACGCCGUAAACGAUGUCUACUUGGAGGUUGUGCCCUUGAGGCGUGGCUUCCGGAGCUAACGCGUUAAGUAGACCGCCUGGGGAGUACGGCCGCAAGGUUAAAACUCAAAUGAAUUGACGGGGGCCCGCACAAGCGGUGGAGCAUGUGGUUUAAUUCGAUGCAACGCGAAGAACCUUACCUGGUCUUGACAUCCACGGAAGUUUUCAGAGAUGAGAAUGUGCCUUCGGGAACCGUGAGACAGGUGCUGCAUGGCUGUCGUCAGCUCGUGUUGUGAAAUGUUGGGUUAAGUCCCGCAACGAGCGCAACCCUUAUCCUUUGUUGCCAGCGAUUAGGUCGGGAACUCAAAGGAGACUGCCAGUGAUAAACUGGAGGAAGGUGGGGAUGGCGACAAGUCAUCAUGGCCCUUAAGACCAGGGCUACGCA